GCGCACGCAGGCGGUCUGUCAAGUCGGAUGUGAAAUCCCCGGGCUCAACCUGGGAACUGCAUUCGAAACUGGCAGGCUAUAGUCUUGUAGAGGGGGGUAGAAUUCCAGGUGUAGCGGUGAAAUGCGUAGAGAUCUGGAGGAAUACCGGUGGCGAAGGCGG
This 160-nucleotide ribosomal RNA is filed under the name uncultured bacterium. RNAcentral describes it as "partial 16S ribosomal RNA". It matches the Rfam family "Bacterial small subunit ribosomal RNA", at positions 565 to 724 of the family's 1533-position model. The record is from RNAcentral.